CAGCAGUGGGGAAUAUUGGACAAUGGGGGAAACCCUGAUCCAGCAAUGCCGCGUGAGUGAUGAAGGCCUUAGGGUUGUAAAACUCUUUCAGCAGGGAAGAUGAUGACGGUACCUGCAGAAGAAGCUCCGGCUAACUCCGUGCCAGCAGCCGCGGUAAUACGGAGGGAGCUAGCGUUGUUCGGAAUUACUGGGCGUAAAGAGCGUGUAGGCUGCUCUUGCAAGUCGGAGGUGAAAUCCCUGGGCUCAACCCGGGAACUGCCUUCGAUACUGCAAAGCUAGAGGAUGGGAGAGGGCAAUGGAAUUCCAAGUGUAGAGGUGAAAUUCGUAGAUAUUUGGAAGAACACCGGUGGCGAAGGCGAUUGCCUGGCCCAUAUCUGACGCUGAGACGCGAAAGCGUGGGGAGCGAACAGGAUUAGAUACCCUGGUAGUCCACGCCGUAAACGAUGAGUGCUUGCUGUUGGG
This 462-nucleotide ribosomal RNA is filed under the name uncultured Alphaproteobacteria bacterium. Its description in RNAcentral is "bacterial SSU rRNA". It matches the Rfam family "Bacterial small subunit ribosomal RNA", at positions 349 to 827 of the family's 1533-position model. Lineage: Bacteria; Pseudomonadati; Pseudomonadota; Alphaproteobacteria. The record is from RNAcentral.